AAAACAUUAUCCUCAUUAUUCAGUGUCCUUUGGAGGAGCCAGUGGACUUUGUGGACAGUUGGACUUGAGGUCUAGGGAGAGGAGGUAGAGGAGGAACCGUUAUUCACAGCCUUAUACUCUACCUCGGGGAGAAGGAGGAGGAACCUUUUGAAGAUUGCUUGGAGGACAGCUGGAGUGACAUCAAUAAACAUAUCCUGAAAAUACAUGUUCUCCACAGUGCUGAUGAGGAUCCAGUUGAUGUCUCCAUCCUUGAAGGCCAGGAGAUUUUGGCAGCAUUCAACAGUACUGCAAAAGCCUACUCGCUGCUCCUGGGACUGAUAUAUGCCCUGAACUUGGCAUACCCUCCACUGAUCCCUAUUUAUUCACUGGAUUGGUGAUUCACCGAUGUUAGUCCACAUCUCUGUGAAGCCACCAGCCGCCAUAUUGGU
This is a long non-coding RNA of Fundulus heteroclitus (mummichog), 428 nucleotides long. RefSeq lists it as uncharacterized. The transcript is spliced from 3 exons. NCBI's taxonomy places the organism in Eukaryota, Metazoa, Chordata, Actinopteri, Cyprinodontiformes, Fundulidae. The record is from RefSeq and is a predicted model, not a curated record.